UGUAGUUGAGGUCAGGCUGUCCCUGUUAGAUUUAACCAUGGAGACAUCCCCCCUUGAUGUAUAACCUUCAUUUCCCCCCUCUUUAACCUUAAUUGUUUGUUCUCCUAGCACCUACUUGUUGUAAAACUCAAUCAUAUACAACAAAGAGGUUACUAACACAUAAUCAGUCACGUAGUUGGGAGGUAUAAAACUGGGCCUCUCAGAAACAUCAGGGUCCUUGUUGGGAACUGAUUCCCCUUGGACCCACUGGCAUAAUAAACUGUACUCCACUGUCUUGAGUGUCCUCUGACAUGUGUUUUUGACUUCAGAUUCCACAGCAUUUCUGGUGCAUCGGCCAGGAAGCCGUUGGAGAGACAGGCCCAUUGAGCCUCUGCCUGCCACUCACUGGGAUGAGAGCCUCUGGGAGGAGAAGGUGCCUCCCACUCCAGAUCAGCUUUGUUUUAGUGACUUAUCCUUCCAGGUGGACUUCACAAGACUGUGGGCAACAGAAGGGAAGCGUGCAGAUUCACCACACCCAGCUCAAGAUAGCAGCGGAGGAAAAGGGACCUUGGACUGUCCAUCCUGACCUGAAGGAAUCACUGAAGACCCGACUUGUCUUCCAUCAGUGGCCACAGAUUCAGGAUGUAGCCGCUGCGAAUAAUUCUGCUGUUCCUGAUCAGCAGGAUGACCCUUCCAGGACUGCAAACUCAGGAUAAUGUGUUCCUGUCCUGGGCCCACUCAUAUACAAACUUCCAUAAUACUUCUAACUGUUAGGCUUGUGGGGCCAUGCCUUUGUCAGUGAUGGAUGGACUUCCUUCAUGGGUGUCUCCCGUAUGCAGAGCGGACUUUAGCUCCCUCUGCUCAUUUUUGAGACAGCAAUGAGAGGCGUUUGCUUCCUUGAUAACUACAACCUGUCACUUCUUACUUGCUGUAACCUGGACUUUAAUCAAAUUGAUUAAGGCCAUGAGGUGACAUUUGAGGUAAACGCAAGCCUUACAAAAGUGACCAAAGCCUAUACUUUUUACUUAAAAAAAAAAAAAAGAAUGAGAACUCAAUGGCUAGUCAGAAGGGCAAUCCAUCAGGUACUCUGAACAAUUUUACCAUA
Molecule: long non-coding RNA, 1084 nt
Filed under: Bos indicus x Bos taurus (hybrid cattle)
Lineage: Eukaryota; Metazoa; Chordata; Mammalia; Artiodactyla; Bovidae
Description: lncRNA (ENSBIXG00005016624.1)
Source: RNAcentral